Molecule: ribosomal RNA, 468 nt
Filed under: uncultured bacterium
Lineage: Bacteria
Description: partial 16S ribosomal RNA
Rfam family: Bacterial small subunit ribosomal RNA
Source: RNAcentral
GACGAACGCUGGCGGCGUGCUUAACACAUGCAAGUCGAACGGAAAGGCCCUGCUUUUGUGGGGUGCUCGAGUGGCGAACGGGUGAGUAACACGUGAGUAACCUGCCCUUGACUUUGGGAUAACUUCAGGAAACUGGGGCUAAUACCGGAUAGGAGCUCCUGCUGCAUGGUGGGGGUUGGAAAGUUUCGGCGGUUGGGGAUGGACUCGCGGCUUACCAGCUUGUUGGUGGGGUAGUGGCUUACCAAGGCUUUGACGGGUAGCCGGCCUGAGAGGGUGACCGGCCACAUUGGGACUGAGAUACGGCCCAGACUCCUACGGGAGGCAGCAGUGGGGAAUAUUGCACAAUGGGCGGAAGCCUGAUGCAGCAACGCCGCGUGCGGGAUGACGGCCUUCGGGUUGUAAACCGCUUUCGCCUGUGACGAAGCGUGAGUGACGGUAAUGGGUAAAGAAGCACCGGCCAACUACGUG